RNAcentral lists this ribosomal RNA (1024 nucleotides) under Streptococcus sp. Its description in RNAcentral is "bacterial SSU rRNA". It matches the Rfam family "Bacterial small subunit ribosomal RNA", at positions 66 to 1076 of the family's 1533-position model. Lineage: Bacteria; Bacillati; Bacillota; Bacilli; Lactobacillales; Streptococcaceae. The record is from RNAcentral.
GCUGAGAGAGGAGCUUGCUUUUCUUGGAUGAGUUGCGAACGGGUGAGUAACGCGUAGGUAACCUGCCUUGUAGCGGGGGAUAACUAUUGGAAACGAUAGCUAAUACCGCAUAACAAUGGAUGACUCAUGUCAUUUAUUUGAAAGGGGCAAAUGCUCCACUACAAGAUGGACCUGCGUUGUAUUAGCUAGUAGGUGAGGUAACGGCUCACCUAGGCGACGAUACAUAGCCGACCUGAGAGGGUGAUCGGCCACACUGGGACUGAGACACGGCCCAGACUCCUACGGGAGGCAGCAGUAGGGAAUCUUCGGCAAUGGGGGCAACCCUGACCGAGCAACGCCGCGUGAGUGAAGAAGGUUUUCGGAUCGUAAAGCUCUGUUGUAAGUCAAGAACGAGUGUGAGAGUGGAAAGUUCACACUGUGACGGUAGCUUACCAGAAAGGGACGGCUAACUACGUGCCAGCAGCCGCGGUAAUACGUAGGUCCCGAGCGUUGUCCGGAUUUAUUGGGCGUAAAGCGAGCGCAGGCGGUUUGAUAAGUCUGAAGUUAAAGGCUGUGGCUCAACCAUAGUUCGCUUUGGAAACUGUCAAACUUGAGUGCAGAAGGGGAGAGUGGAAUUCCAUGUGUAGCGGUGAAAUGCGUAGAUAUAUGGAGAACACCGGUGGCGAAAGCGGCUCUCUGGUCUGUAACUGACGCUGAGGCUCGAAAGCGUGGGGAGCGAACAGGAUUAGAUACCCUGGUAGUCCACGCCGUAAACGAUGAGUGCUAGGUGUUGGAUCCUUUCCGGGAUUCAGUGCCGCAGCUAACGCAUUAAGCACUCCGCCUGGGGAGUACGACCGCAAGGUUGAAACUCAAAGGAAUUGACGGGGGCCCGCACAAGCGGUGGAGCAUGUGGUUUAAUUCGAAGCAACGCGAAGAACCUUACCAGGUCUUGACAUCCCGAUGCUAUUUCUAGAGAUAGAAAGUUACUUCGGUACAUCGGUGACAGGUGGUGCAUGGUUGUCGUCAGCUCGUGUCGUGAGAUGUU